GUGUGUGCCAGGUUGGUCCAUGCCAACUGCUGAUUGGCGUGAAGGGACUUGUGUAUCCCGUGUCGUGGGUUAUUAUUCUGGUGAGGCGGUGGGAAUUGGCCUUGUGUCUGUUCACCAUGGGGGGCCAGUGUAUCUUUGAGAGCGAGUGUGUGAUUGCAGACAACGGGGUGGAAGAUAGUCGAAGGAAGUGGGGCUGUUUAUGAUAGUUGAAGGAAGUGGGGCUGUUUAUGAUAGUUGAAAUGGGGCUGUGUAUGAUAGUUGAAGUGGGGCUGUGUAUAAUAGUUGAAGGAAGUGGGGCUGUGUAUAAUAGUUGAAGGAAGUGGGGCUGUUUAUGAUAGUUGAAAUGGGGCUGUGUAUGAUAGUUGGAAGUGGGGCUGUGUAUGAUAGUUGAAGGAAGUGGGGCUGUGUAUAAUAGUUGAAGGAAGUGGGGCUGUGUAUGAUAGUUGAAAUGGGGCUGUGUAUGAUAGUUGAAGUGGGACUGUGUAUAAUAGUUGAAGGAAGUGGGGCUGUGUAUAAUAGUUGAAGGAAGUGGGGCUGUGUAUGAUAGUUGAAAUGGGGCUGUGUAUGAUAGUUGAAGUGGGACUGUGUAUAAUAGUUGAAGGAAGUGGGACUGUGUAUAAUAGUUGAAGGAAGUGGGGCUGUUUAUGAUAGUUGAAAUGGGGCUGUGUAUGAUAGUUGAAGGAAGUGGGGCUGUGUAUAAUAGUUGAAGGAAGUGGGGCUGUGUAUAAUAGUUGAAGGAAGUGGGACUGUGUAUGAUAGUUGAAGGAAGUGGGACUGCGUAUGAUAGUUGAAGUGGGACUGUGUAUAAUAGUUGAAGGAAGUGGGGCUGUGUAUGAUAGUUGAAGGAAGUGGGGCUGUGUAUGAUAGUUGAAGGAAGUGGGGCUGUGUAUAAUAGUUGAUGGAAGUGGGGCUGUGUAUAAUAGUUGAUGGAAGUGGGGCUGUGUAUAAUAGUUGAUGGAAGUGGGGCUGUGUAUAACAGUUGAAGGAAGUGGGGCUGUGUAUAAUAGUUGAAGGAAGUGGGGCUGUGUAUAAUAGUUGAAGGAAGUGGGGCUGUGUGUGAUAGUUGAAGGAAGUUGGACUGUGUAUAAUAGUUGAUGGAAGUGGGGCUGUGUAUGAUAGUUGAAGGAAGUGGGGCUGUGUAUAACAGUUGAAGGAAGUGGGGCUGUGUAUAACAGUUGAAGGAAGUUGGACUGUGUAUAAUAGUUGAUGGAAGUGGGGCUGUGUAUGAUAGUUGAAGGAAGUGGGGCUGUGUAUAACAGUUGAAGGAAGUGGGGCUGUGUAUAAUAGUUGAAGGAAGUGGGGCUGUGUAUAAUAGUUGAAGGAAGUGGGGCUGUGUAUAACAGUUGAAGGAAGUGGGGCUGUGUAUAACAGUUGAAGGAAGUGGGACUGUGUAUGAUAGUUGAAGGAAGUGGGGCUGUGUAUGAUAGUUGAAGGAAGUGGGGCUGUGUAUGAUAGUUGAAGGAAGUGGGACUGUGUAUGAUAGUUGAAGGAAGUGGGACUGUGUAUGAUAGUUGAAGGAAGUGGGACUGUGUAUAAUAGUUGAAGGAAGUGGGACUGUGUAUGAUAGUUGAAGUGGGACUGUGUAUAAUAGUUGAAGGAAGUGGGGCUGUGUGUGAUAGUUGAAGGAAGUUGGACUGUGUAUGAUAGUUGAAGGUAGUGGGACUGUGUAUAAUAGUUGAAGGAAGUGGGACUGUGUAUGAUAGUUGAAGUGGGACUGUGUAUAAUAGUUGAAGGAAGUGGGGCUGUGUGUGAUAGUUAAAGGAAGUGGGACUGUGUAUGAUAGUUGAAGUGGGACUGUGUAUAACAGUUGAAGGAAGUGGGACUGUGUAUGAUAGUUGAAGUGAGACUGUGUAUGAUGUGUAUGAUAGUUGACUGUGUAUAAUAGUUUAAGGAAGUGGGGCUCUGGAGAGCCCUGUGGUUGCGGGCGGUGCAGUUGCCGUACCAGGCGAUGAUACAGACAGACAGGAUGCUCCCAAUUGUGCAUCUGUGAAAGUUUGUGAGGGUUUUAGGUGCCACGCCAAAUUUCUUCAGCCUUCUGAGGUUGAAGAGGCGCUGUUGCGCCUUCUUCACCACACUGUAUGUGUGGGUGGACCAUUUCAGUUUGUCAGUGAUGUGUACGCCGAGGAACAUGAAGCAACUGUCCCAGUUUCCACUUCUACUCCACUGUUCAACAGAAUAGUUCCACGGUGGAGAGAGUGACUGACUAAGAGGAUGAGAGAGAGAAUGGAGAGGAGAUAGAGAGAUGGAGAGAGUGAGAGAGAGAGUCAGUCUCUCUCCACUCUCUCUGGUAUUGUUUCAGUAGGUGUAUAUUCUAACAUAGUCAGCCUCAAGCAUCUACAGAUCAGUGGGUGGAACAGCACUCCUACCAAAAUAGAGAGAGAAAGAGAGAGAGUGAAUGAUAGAAAGAG
RNAcentral lists this long non-coding RNA (2408 nucleotides) under Salmo salar (Atlantic salmon). Its description in RNAcentral is "lncRNA (ENSSSAG00000085316.1)". The record is from RNAcentral. Lineage: Eukaryota; Metazoa; Chordata; Actinopteri; Salmoniformes; Salmonidae.